RNAcentral lists this ribosomal RNA (301 nucleotides) under uncultured bacterium. RNAcentral's name for it is "partial 16S ribosomal RNA". It matches the Rfam family "Bacterial small subunit ribosomal RNA", at positions 509 to 807 of the family's 1533-position model. The record is from RNAcentral.
CAGUCGCCGCGGUAAUACGGAGGGCGCGAGCGUUACCCGGAUUUACUGGGCGUAAAGGGCGUGUAGGCGGCCUGGGGCGUCCCAUGUGAAAGGCCACGGCUCAACCGUGGAGGAGCGUGGGAUACGCUCAGGCUAGAGGGUGGGAGAGGGUGGUGGAAUUCCCGGAGUAGCAGUGAAAUGCGCAGAUACCGGGAGGAACGCCGAUGGCGAAGGCAGCCACCUGGUCCACUUCUGACGCUGAGGCGCGAAAGCGUGGGGAGCAAACCGGAUUAGAUACCCCGGUAGUCCCUGUCUCUUAUAC